This is a long non-coding RNA of Solea solea (common sole), 346 nucleotides long. RefSeq lists it as uncharacterized. The transcript has 3 exons. The record is from RefSeq and is a predicted model, not a curated record. NCBI's taxonomy places the organism in Eukaryota, Metazoa, Chordata, Actinopteri, Pleuronectiformes, Soleidae.
GUUGAGGGCAGACAGAGUGAGAGUAGAGAAAAGAAUGGGUAAAAGAGAGAACAAUUGAAAGGUCUGCAGGAGUUGAAGGAUUGAGAGGUUGCAAUAAAAAAGACAACGAAGAUGGUGACCAUAGAACCCCGCUUGAUGUUUUAUGAGGAAGUCCAUCAGUGCCCACACAACACUCAAAGAAUACAGGAAUGGAAUAUGAGGCCGAGUACACAGAUCCACUUCCUGUCAAGUUUCCCUCCUGUGUGAUGACUGGCCCCGCCCUAAUGUGUUGCACCUGUUUCUCAUUUCAGUAUUUAGUCUCUGUCGUCCCCUCCUUCAAUGCCAGAUUGUCUUUGCCCUCGUGUAA